GCACUUCAUUCCUGCACAGGCAGAAUCAUCUGGCUUCUGCAAAGCAGUCGCGCAGCGCUGUAGGGACAACCGGGGAGUCUCAACCUAAAUGACUCUCCCCUCGUUCCCCUGGAGGAGAAGAGAAGGGGCGACCUCACACAGGACCAGGGCCGGACGGGGCAGAAGGGAGGAAGAGUUCCCGUGCUGGCACAGAGGUGGCAGGGGGAGGCAGCAGUGCAGCUGGAGCCCAGGCCUGCUGUGAGAGGGCAGAGAGUGAGCCUGGGCUGUGCUCACAGGACAUUCCUCAAACUCAUUCCUAAAAGAGCUGCAAUUACACGGCGGCGUUUCCGAAAUGACCUGGCACAGUGCGCGGCGCCUCACAUAGGCCCAGGGCCGCGGCCAGCGCUGAGCAGACUGGUGACUAGAAGCAGCUCCCCGUCGGGCUGCACCCUCCCUCUGUCCCUCGCGGGGGCAUCUGCAGAAGGGCACUGAAUGCGCUCCCCACCCCAGGAAACCCAGCCCCUCCACUCUUCCAGGAAGGAGCGUCGUCAUGGCCACACAGGCAGGGAAUAACUGAUGCACAGAAUUCAGCCGGGCCGCACUCAGCACCGCGCUCUCCAGAUGCAAACGGACACACGCAAACCGGCCCCAGACUCGAGAAUUCGUCCGCAGAGAUGCAUCCACUACAACUCAAACAUCAUUCCACCUUAAAAACCCUGCUUAAUGACAUCAGCCCUGCUCUGCCGGUUUUGUGGCCUCUUUGACACAGGCCGAGAUCCUCCCUUCUCUGGCCUCCCCGCUGGCUGCCAGAUCUCACCAAGCCACAAGUUACAGACGCAGGGUGCAACUGAGGAACAUGAUCAGUGAAGGAAGAAAUAAGGAAGGGGGAGCUUUACGAGUCCAGCUAAAAACAAGAGGACAAACUAGCCAGACCCCUCGGAGAAGCAGGCUCCUCAUUUCACGAAAUCGGCCGUUUCCUUCAGCAGCUCCCCUGACCCCCGUUACAGUCUGUGACGAUGACGAGAGACACGCCUGCUGCCCUGCUCAGUGGGGAACACACCGGCCCCGCGUGCGUAUUUCGCUGUUUCUGACUUCACACAAAGAACUGUUGUUAUGUUUCCAUCACUUACACGCAGCAACCAGCAUUCAAUGUUGUGCUCUCAAAGUCUGUUUAAAGUUGGCUGCUUGCAAACUGGGCCAUAGUUUCUGACAAAAAUGAUGCUGGUAAGCUAACUCCCAGGCCGAGAAUGCCCAUGCUGUGGGCAAAAGAACAGUGCCCGCCCCUGGGUUGUCUGAGCAGAAGCUGGAUUGUGUGCCUGGAGCCCUGUCGCCCUCAGCCAGACCCGGGGUCGAGGCUGGGCCGGCUCUCCGGGAGCAUCAGGGAUCCGGUUGGAGAGAGGCUCAUACGGCGGUCCCAGGGGCCACCUCGAGGGGGUUGACCGGAGCUGGGUCUGGGAGCUGCAGCAGAGGGAAGGCGGCAUGAGGAGAGAGCCGCAGGUGGGGCGUGUGCACAAAGUGCAGGUGUGUGGAGGCCCUGUGGGUUUACAUUGCCCUGAGGCACCACUUCACGAUCAC
Molecule: long non-coding RNA, 1554 nt
Filed under: Homo sapiens (human)
Lineage: Eukaryota; Metazoa; Chordata; Mammalia; Primates; Hominidae
Description: non-protein coding lnc-ZNF236-6:3
Source: RNAcentral